UACGGGGGGGGCAAGCGUUGUUCGGACUUACUGGGCGUAAAGGGCUCGUAGGUGGCCAACUAAGUCAGACGUGAAAUCCCCAGGCUCAACUUGGGAACUGCGUCUGAUACUGGAUGGCUUGAAUCCGGGAGAGGGAUGUGGAAUUCCAGGUGUAGCGGUGAAAUGCGUAGAUAUCUGGAGGAAUACCGGUGGCGAAGGCGGCAUCCUGGACCGGCAUUGACGCUGAGGAGCGAAAGCUAGGGGAGCAAACGGG
RNAcentral lists this ribosomal RNA (253 nucleotides) under uncultured bacterium. Its description in RNAcentral is "partial 16S ribosomal RNA". It matches the Rfam family "Bacterial small subunit ribosomal RNA", at positions 524 to 776 of the family's 1533-position model. The record is from RNAcentral.